Molecule: ribosomal RNA, 252 nt
Filed under: uncultured bacterium
Lineage: Bacteria
Description: partial 16S ribosomal RNA
Rfam family: Bacterial small subunit ribosomal RNA
Source: RNAcentral
UACGUAGGUCCCGAGCGUUGUCCGGAUUUACUGGGCGUAAAGCGAGCGCAGGUGGUUCAUUAAGUCUGGUGUAAAAGGCAGUGGCUCAACCAUUGUAUGCAUUGGAAACUGGUAGACUUGAGUGCAGGAGAGGAGAGUGGAAUUCCAUGUGUAGCGGUGAAAUGCGUAGAUAUAUGGAGGAACACCGGUGGCGAAAGCGGCUCUCUGGCCUGUAACUGACACUGAGGCUCGAAAGCGUGGGGAGCAAACAGG